GAUGAACGCUGGCGGCGUGCCUAAUACAUGCAAGUCGAGCGAACAGACGAGGAGCUUGCUAGUCUGACGUUAGCGGCGGACGGGUGAGUAACACGUGGAUAACCUACCUAUAAGACUGGGAUAACUUCGGGAAACCGGAGCUAAUACCGGAUAAUAUAUUGAACCGCAUGGUUCAAUAGUGAAAGACGGUUUUGCUGUCACUUAUAGAUGGAUCCGCGCCGCAUUAGCUAGUUGGUAAGGUAACGGCUUACCAAGGUAACGAUGCGUAGCCGACCUGAGAGGGUGAUCGGCCACACUGGAACUGAGACACGGUCCAGACUCCUACGGGAGGCAGCAGUAGGGAAUCUUCCGCAAUGGGCGAAAGCCUGACGGAGCAACGCCGCGUGAGUGAUGAAGGUCUUCGGAUCGUAAAACUCUGUUAUUAGGGAAGAACAAAUGUGUAAGUAACUAUGCACGUCUUGACGGUACCUAAUCAGAAAGCCACGGCUAACUACGUG
Molecule: ribosomal RNA, 497 nt
Filed under: uncultured bacterium
Lineage: Bacteria
Description: partial 16S ribosomal RNA
Rfam family: Bacterial small subunit ribosomal RNA
Source: RNAcentral